This 114-nucleotide ribosomal RNA is filed under the name Diaphorina citri (Asian citrus psyllid). The record is from RNAcentral. Lineage: Eukaryota; Metazoa; Arthropoda; Insecta; Hemiptera; Psyllidae.
AUCCGCGGUAGAACGUUGAAUACAAAAUUUCCUUUGGAUCACUGAAGUUAAGCAGCGUUGCGCGUGGUUAGUUUUCGAAUGGGUGACCAUCUAGGCAAUUGCGUGCUGCUGGCU